This 232-nucleotide ribosomal RNA is filed under the name uncultured bacterium. RNAcentral's name for it is "partial 16S ribosomal RNA". It matches the Rfam family "Bacterial small subunit ribosomal RNA", at positions 103 to 334 of the family's 1533-position model. The record is from RNAcentral.
CGGGUGAGUAACGCGUGGAUAACCUGCCUCACACUGGGGGAUAACAGUUAGAAAUGACUGCUAAUACCGCAUAAGCGCACAGUACCGCAUGGUACAGUGUGAAAAACUCCGGUAGGUGUGAGAUGGAUCCGCGUCUGAUUAGCCAGUUGGCGGGGUAACGGCCCACCAAAGCGACGAUCAGUAGCCGACCUGAGAGGGUGACCGGCCACAUUGGGACUGAGACACGGCCCAA